Molecule: unclassified non-coding RNA, 447 nt
Filed under: Hevea brasiliensis (rubber tree)
Lineage: Eukaryota; Viridiplantae; Streptophyta; Magnoliopsida; Malpighiales; Euphorbiaceae
Source: RNAcentral
GGUUUCAUUGCAGAUGUCAGCUGAACCUGAAUAACUUGGAAGGCUAUUGUUCUCUCGAAGGAGUUUCAGUACCACAGAUUUCAUUUCACGGCGGCCUCUCUCUUCAUUGCUUGUAAGAACAAGUUCCAUUAUGUGGGAAAGUGUGUCCUUAGGCGGAUUAACAACCUCAGAAGAGACUCNNGUGUGACCCCAACACCUUCAUUCUGGAGUUGUAGAACUGAAGAGAUCACCUUUUCUUCUUCUUCCUCCCCAACCCAUGGAACUGCUUCCAAAUAUUCCAAGCAUGACUGAAUGCAUGAGUUGAAGCCAAUAAAUUCAGCAAUCUUGAUAAUUCGAAGCACACGCGAGACAGUUUGCUUGAUCAACCGCUGCUUCAUUUCUUUGCAAUACAUCAGUCCCACGGUUUCAACAUAUAUCUCAACAUCAUCACAAUCGUCAAUCUCAAGA